UAGAGUUUGAUCCGUGGCUCGAGGACGAACGCUGGCGGCGUGCUUAACACAUGCAAGUCGAACGGAAAGGCCCUGCUUUUGUGGGGUGCUCGAGUGGCGAACGGGUGAGUAACACGUGAGUAACCUGCCCUUGACUUUGGGAUAACUUCAGGAAACUGGGGCUAAUACCGGAUAGGAGCUCCUGCUGCAUGGUGGGGGUUGGAAAGUUUCGGCGGUUGGGGAUGGACUCGCGGCUUAUCAGCUUGUUGGUGGGGUAGUGGCUUACCAAGGCUUUGACGGGUAGCCGGCCUGAGAGGGUGGCCGGCCACAUUGGGACUGAGAUACGGCCCAGACUCCUACGGGAGGCAGCAGUGGGGAAUAUUGCACAAUGGGCGGAAGCCUGAUGCAGCAACGCCGCGUGCGGGAUGACGGCCUUCGGGUUGUAAACCGCUUUCGCCUGUGACGAAGCGUGAGUGACGGUAAUGGGUAAAGAAGCACCGGCUAACUACGUG
Molecule: ribosomal RNA, 491 nt
Filed under: uncultured Propionibacterium sp.
Lineage: Bacteria; Bacillati; Actinomycetota; Actinomycetes; Propionibacteriales; Propionibacteriaceae
Description: bacterial SSU rRNA
Rfam family: Bacterial small subunit ribosomal RNA
Source: RNAcentral